CCUACGGGAGGCAGCAGUAGGGAAUAUUGCUCAAUGGGGGAAACCCUGAAGCAGCAACGCCGCGUGGAGGAUGAAGGUUUUAGGAUUGUAAACUCCUUUUGUUAGAGAAGCUUAUGACGUUAUCUAACGAAUAAUCACCGGAUGACUCCGUGCCAGCAGCCGCGGUAAUGCGGCGGGUGCAAGCGUUACACGGAAUCACUGGGCGUAAAGAGUGCGUAGGCGGGGUAAUAAGUCAGAUGUGAAAUCCUGUAGCUUAACUACAGAACUGCAUUUGAAACUGUUACUCUGGAGUGUGGGAGAGGUAGGUGGAAUGCGUGGUGUAGGGGUGAAAUGCGUAGAGAUCAAGAGGAAUACUCAUUGCGAAGGCGACCUGCUGGAACAUAACUGACGCUGAUGCACGAAAGCGUGGGGAGCAAACAGGAUUAGAUACCCGUGUAGUC
RNAcentral lists this ribosomal RNA (440 nucleotides) under uncultured bacterium. RNAcentral's name for it is "partial 16S ribosomal RNA". It matches the Rfam family "Bacterial small subunit ribosomal RNA", at positions 338 to 795 of the family's 1533-position model. The record is from RNAcentral.